GGGGGGGUGGCAAGCGUUACUCGGGAAUUAUUGGGGUGUAAAGGGCAAGUAGGCGGUCUAAUAAGUGAGGGGUGAAAUCUUCCGACUCAAUCGGGAAAACUGCCUUUCAAACUGUUAGACUUGAGGCAGGAAGAGGGAAAUGGAAUUCCAGGUGUAAGGGUGAAAUCUGUAGAUAUCUGGAAGAACACCAGCUGCGAAGGCGAUUUCCUGGUCCUGUCCUGACGCUGAAUUGCGAAAGCUAGGGGAGCAAACAGAAUUAGAUACUCUGGUAGUCCUAGCUGUAAACGAUGAGCACUAGAUGUUGGGUCCUUUCGGGGAUCAGUGUCGCAGCUAACGCAUUAAGUGCUCCACCUGGGGACUACGGUCGCAAGGCUA
RNAcentral lists this ribosomal RNA (375 nucleotides) under uncultured organism. RNAcentral describes it as "partial 16S ribosomal RNA". It matches the Rfam family "Bacterial small subunit ribosomal RNA", at positions 525 to 896 of the family's 1533-position model. The record is from RNAcentral.